This 90-nucleotide non-coding RNA is filed under the name Pacificitalea manganoxidans. RNAcentral's name for it is "Glycine riboswitch aptamer". It matches the Rfam family "Glycine riboswitch aptamer". Rfam says of the family: This family represents the bacterial glycine riboswitch. Glycine riboswitches usually consist of two metabolite-binding aptamers domains with similar structures in tandem. The aptamers cooperatively bind glycine to regulate the expression of downstream genes. The record is from Rfam by way of RNAcentral. Lineage: Bacteria; Pseudomonadati; Pseudomonadota; Alphaproteobacteria; Rhodobacterales; Paracoccaceae. RNAcentral also lists the same sequence under 1 other name.
AUCACCGCACCGGGAGAAUCCGGCCCAGUGCCGGUGCCGAAGGAGCAACCGCCCCGGUAAACUCUCAGGCAUCAGGACCGUUGCGGGCAC